GCGCAGCAGUCGAGAAUACUUUACAAUGUGCGAAAGCACGAUAAGGGAACUCUGAGUGCCUCCUAAGGAGGCUGUUCUGAUGUCUAAAAGCAACAGAAGUAAGGGCUGGGUAAGACCGGUGCCAGCCGCCGCGGUAACACCGGCAGCCCAAGUGGUAGCCACGUUUAUUGGGUCUAAAGCGUUCGUAGCCGGCCAGGUAAGUUCCUUGGUAAAUUUAGCCGCCUAACGGUUAAGCUUUCAGGGAAUACUGCUUGGCUUGGGACUGGGAGAGGUCAGAGGUACUCCGGGGGUAGGGGUGAAAUCUAUUAAUCCCUGGGGACCACCGGUAGCGAAGGCGUCUGACCAGACCAGGUCCGACGGUGAGGGGCGAAGGCUAGGGGCGCGAACCGGAUUAGAUACCCGGCGUAGU
Molecule: ribosomal RNA, 409 nt
Filed under: uncultured microorganism
Description: bacterial SSU rRNA
Rfam family: Archaeal small subunit ribosomal RNA
Source: RNAcentral